Molecule: ribosomal RNA, 373 nt
Filed under: uncultured organism
Description: partial 16S ribosomal RNA
Rfam family: Bacterial small subunit ribosomal RNA
Source: RNAcentral
GUAGGGUGGCAAGCGUUGUCCGGAAUUAUUGGGCGUAAAGCGCGCGCAGGCGGUCCUUUAAGUCUGAUGUGAAAGCCCGCGGCUCAACCGUGGAGGGUCAUUGGAAACCCGGGGGACUUGAGUACAGAAGAGGAAAGCGGAAUUCCAAGUGUAGCGGUGAAAUGCGUAGAGAUUUGGAGGAACACCAGUGGCGAAGGCGGCUUUCUGGUCUGUAACUGACGCUGAGGCGCGAAAGCGUGGGGGGCAAACAGGAUUAGAUACCCUGGUAGUCCACGCCGUAAACGAUGAGUGCUAAGUGUUAGGGGGUUUCCGCCCCUUAGUGCUGCAGCUAACGCAUUAAGCACUCCGCCUGGGGAGUACGGCCGCAAGGCUG